RNAcentral lists this ribosomal RNA (424 nucleotides) under uncultured bacterium. RNAcentral's name for it is "bacterial SSU rRNA". It matches the Rfam family "Bacterial small subunit ribosomal RNA", at positions 355 to 796 of the family's 1533-position model. The record is from RNAcentral.
UGGGGAAUAUUGGACAAUGGGCGAAAGCCUGAUCCAGCAAUGCCGCGUGGGUGAAGAAGGUCUUCGGAUUGUAAAGCCCUUUCGGCGGGGACGAUGAUGACGGUACCCGCAGAAGAAGCCCCGGCUAACUUCGUGCCAGCAGCCGCGGUAAUACGAAGGGGGCUAGCGUUGCUCGGAAUGACUGGGCGUAAAGGGCGCGUAGGCGGCGGCAAUAGUCAGACGUGAAAUUCCUGGGCUCAACCUGGGGGCUGCGUUUGAUACGUUGUCGCUUGAGUGCGGAAGAGGGUCGUGGAAUUCCCAGUGUAGAGGUGAAAUUCGUAGAUAUUGGGAAGAACACCGGUGGCGAAGGCGGCGACCUGGUCCGUAACUGACGCUGAGGCGCGAAAGCGUGGGGAGCAAACAGGAUUAGAUACCCCCGUAGUCC